AUUGAACGCUGGCGGCAGGCCUAACACAUGCAAGUCGAACGGUAACAGGAAGAAGCUUGCUUCUUUGCUGACGAGUGGCGGACGGGUGAGUAAUGUCUGGGAAACUUCCUGAUGGAGGGGGAUAACUACUGGAAACGGUAGCUAAUACCGCAUAACGUCGCAAGACCAAAGAGGGGGACCUUCGGGCCUCUUGCCAUCGGAUGUGCCCAGAUGGGAUUAGCUAGUAGGUGGGGUAACGGCUCACCUAGGCGACGAUCCCUAGCUGGUCUGAGAGGAUGACCAGCCACACUGGAACUUAGACACGGUCCAGACUCCUACGGGAGGCAGCAGUGGGGAAUAUUGCACAAUGGGCGCAAGCCUGAUGCAGCCAUGCCGCGUGUAUGAAGAAGGCCUUCGGGUUGUAAAGUACUUUCAGCGGGGAGGAAGGGAGUAAAGUUAAUACCUUGGCUCAUUGACGUUACCCGCAGAAGAAGCACCGGCUAACUCCGUG
Molecule: ribosomal RNA, 490 nt
Filed under: uncultured bacterium
Lineage: Bacteria
Description: partial 16S ribosomal RNA
Rfam family: Bacterial small subunit ribosomal RNA
Source: RNAcentral